CAAUAGCGUAUAUUAAAGUUGUUGCAGUUAAAAAGCUCGUAGUUGGAUUUCGGGGUGGCCUGGCUGGUCCGCCGCAAGGUGAGUACUGGUCAGCCGCCCUUCCUCGCGAAAGCCCCGACUGCUCUUUACUGCAGUGGUCGGGUAGUUCGGGACGUUUACUUUGAAAAAAUUAGAGUGUUCAAGGCAGGCUAUCGCCUGAAUACAUUAGCAUGGAAUAAUGGAAGAGGACCUCGGUCCUAUUUUGUUGGUUUCUAGGGCCGAAGUAAUGAUUAAGAGGGACAGUUGGGGGCAUUCGUAUUUAAUUGUCAGAGGUGAAAUUCUUGGAUUUAUGAAAGACGAACUAGUGCGAAAGCAUUUGCCAAGGAUGUUUUCAUUAA
RNAcentral lists this ribosomal RNA (377 nucleotides) under uncultured eukaryote. RNAcentral describes it as "partial 18S ribosomal RNA". It matches the Rfam family "Eukaryotic small subunit ribosomal RNA", at positions 592 to 976 of the family's 1831-position model. The record is from RNAcentral.